Pipra filicauda (Wire-tailed manakin) is the source of this 583-nucleotide long non-coding RNA. RefSeq lists it as uncharacterized. Lineage: Eukaryota; Metazoa; Chordata; Aves; Passeriformes; Pipridae. The record is from RefSeq and is a predicted model, not a curated record. The transcript has 4 exons.
GUUUUUGAGUCUUCAUUCCAUUAUACAUGGAAUGUUGGUGUCUUCCAAGUGCAGCAAGAUGCUGUUGGUGCCACUUAACUCUAUAAACUGUGAGCUUAUUGGAACUGACAGAUGUUUGAAAACUGAUAAAAAAGAGGGUACUGCCAGAAGACAGAGCAAGAAAAAAUAACUUUGUGUUCAGCUCAAUGAAUUCAGUUCAGCUGGUGCUGGAAGAGUGAGGUUUUUCUGUUUUUCCUCCUGGCAUGCCAGGAAGGCCUUUGCAAUAAGGUUUGCAAAGCACACAAGGACCUCUGUGUUUUUAGCAGUACUUAACAAAACUAGAAUGUUUUGCUUUGGGGAAGACAGCUGACACAUUCUGCUCCUGGUCAGAUGUUUGCAGAAUCAGGGCUGAGGUGAAGAGGCUUCAGAGCAAUGCUGGACUGAGGAGACACUGAGGAGAAAAGGAGAGGAAAAAUCUUUGGGAGAAGAUUUCUGGUUAGAGUCUUAGAUAUUGCUCAGCAGCAGGAUGAAGUGAAGAAAAAUAGAGGGAAGCUUCGGAGCAGGAGUGAAAAUUCAUAAAUAAAAAUCUAUGGCUGACAGGGCA